Molecule: ribosomal RNA, 254 nt
Filed under: uncultured bacterium
Lineage: Bacteria
Description: partial 16S ribosomal RNA
Rfam family: Bacterial small subunit ribosomal RNA
Source: RNAcentral
AAGCGAAGUGGCGACAUGGAGCAAAUCCCAAAAAUAACGUCCCAGUUCGGAUUGUAGUCUGCAACCCGACUACAUGAAGCCGGAAUCGCUAGUAAUCGCGGAUCAGAAUGCCGCGGUGAAUACGUUCCCGGGUCUUGUACACACCGCCCGUCACACCAUGGGAGUUGGAAAUGCCCGAAGUCAGUGGCCCAACCGGAAGGGGGGAGCUGCCGAAGGCAGGUUCGAUGACUGGGGUGAAGUCGUAACAAGGUACC